Long non-coding RNA from Juglans microcarpa x Juglans regia, 892 nucleotides. RefSeq lists it as uncharacterized. The record is from RefSeq and is a predicted model, not a curated record. The transcript has 3 exons. Lineage: Eukaryota; Viridiplantae; Streptophyta; Magnoliopsida; Fagales; Juglandaceae.
GUCCAAACUCUUUUUAAUCUCCACCAUUCAUUCCCUAGCUUAUGGGAUAAGCUUGAUCAAAUUCAUUGACUCCCUCCCUUGAACUCAUAGCUUCCUCCAUAAGCCAAAUUAAAUCUCCUUUCCUUCUCUUGCAUGUCGGCUUCCUAAGCAAGCAACUAAGUCCCUUUCCCCCUUGUAUCCCUCGACUUCCUGAGAGAGCAAGUGAUUUCCCUUCUCUUCUCCAUUCACCUGUCGGUUCUAAGGCACACAAAAGAGAAAAUUUCUCGAGUGUUCCUUCCUUCACACGAGAAACCUCUCGGUUUCCUCUAGCCGCACGAUCUCUCUUCUCUUCCAAGUCGUUCCUUCCACUUCCUAAACCUAAGAUCCCCACCGAAAUUCUUCAAGGAGAAUGACCUUCAUUGGGUCUUUUAAAUUUCUCUUCCUCUUCUCGUCUGCUAUGUGUUUCUGUGGCUUGAAAGGGAGCCAAAUCAGGUAUGGAUGAAGAAGCUGUGGAGCUAGGCACUACCGAGGAGGGAGGGCCGAUGCUUAGAGUUUCCCUAAUGGUUCGACUUUGAUGAUGAUGGUUUAUGUUUUUAUGUUUUACGGUGGGUCCCAUGUUGGGACGUUUUGUUGGAUUAACGUUAAGACGGUAUGCCUUUGGGCAUGAUGUAAAUACUAUGGUGGGGUGAUGGUAAUGGUGUAACUUCUAUGGUGGAGUGAUGAUAACCCCACAUACGAUAGUUUAACACCUUUUUGUAUGUGUUAUAGGGACUGAGUCUUCUCUUAUUUAGAACUAGUUAUGUUUGAUGAAUGAAUGAUGAACUCUAAGAGUCCUUUAUGUAAAAUAUUGAAUAGAUUGUCUAUCAGGUGUUCUUUUAAACUAGAAGUGCAGAGUACAUGUAUGACACGUUCA